ACAUGAGUGUGACAUGAAAACUAUGUAAUAUAAAUAAUAUAAUAAUAAUAAUAAUCUAGUAUGGGGAAUUAGUGUGGAACCAAACAUAGCUUUAUGGCUUUUGGUUAUUUCAACUGACGCUGCCUUUUGGCUUAUUCAACUGACGUUUGUGGGAGUCGGUUUAUAACUCUACGCAUUAUUUUCUAAGGCUUGUUAGCAUAGAAAGAAAGCAGAGGAAGAUGAGAUUGAGAGUGAGAGCUUGAGAGAUUGUUCUGAGGUUUCAAGAGGAAGGAGAGGAUUGCUAAACCUAGUCACCAUCUUGUGCUAAUCAAGAAGAUUAAGGUAUAAUUAACUCCUAAAUCUCUAAAUUUUAGUUUUGUCUGAGUUCUAUGUAAAUUGAUUUUUGUUGAAUCGUUGUUUCAAACGUGAUUAUGUGAUAUUGGUUAUAUUGUAUAAUCUGUUGUCAUCAUGUAUCAGUGUUGUAUCAGUUAUUCAAUUUGUGAGAAUUGGGUUUAUAGGAGGGAAUUGAAAUAUCAGUGUUAUGUUCAUUUGUUAUGGCCUUAGAGAGUACCGAUUUUAGUGGUCAAUGUGUGUAUAAAAUUGUAAAUUGAUGCUUGCAUAUGGUAGUCCAUUGAGAUACGAACAUAAUGUAAUUUGAAUGGAAUGAUUUGGCCAAAUAACGAAUUCGCAGUGAUGAUUUUUGGGAUAGACUGUCAAAAAUGGAGUUUUAUAUGAAAAACAUGAAAAUUGAGAAAUUAAAAUAGUUUAAUUUGAUGUUUAAUUGUUCUAAGUUAAUGAAUAUGUGAGGAAACAUGUAUGUGUUAGUUUUAUAUCAGUUGGAUGUGCUAAUUUCACCGUUUGAUAGGUGAAAUUUGUGUUUGUUGGGAUAAAAAAGGCUACUGUUCACUGCCGUCUCUGCGUCUGUCUGAACUCCGGCGCAGCUGCGCCGGUGCCAAGGCAAAAAAUGGCGCAGCUGCGCCGGUCCCAAGCCUAAGUGUGGCGUAGCUGCGCCACACCCUGAACUAAGACAGUGAGGUCUGCUUAUUGGCAGAUCAUGUGUAGUGGACUUAUAUUAGUUUAGCAUGCAUGUUAAUGAUGUUGAGGCAUAAUAUAAACCACAAUAACAGAUUGUCAUGUGUUGUUAUAUAAAGUGUAAAAUAAUUUAAGUGAUUACCUGAAUAAGUUAUGUAAUGAAACCAAAUGAGAUGUUUUCGAAAGAUAGAGUUGAACGAUUAAGUUGUGUUGAUCAAUGUGUAAUUUCAGAUUCGUUAAGUAUAUUUAACCUACGUGGUUAGGUGUUAAGUUAGGGUUGUGACUUAAAUGAUGGUUUAAACCCUAAAGUUAGUAUUCAUGCGAUUAAUUGUUGUGGCGAUUUCAAUGAUACGUGUAGGAUAAUUAGAGAUUAUUUUCAUUUGUGUAGCUUAAAAUUAAGGCAAGUUCUCUAACCCUACUUUUAUAGUUGUGCAAGUUUCUAAACCUUGUCUCUUUACAAUUGAGCAAGCUUUCUAACUUCAUUCUUUUCAUAUUGAAUGCAAGUUCCCAUUUCUAUAUUAUUAUUGUUCAAGUUCUUAAAAUUGAGCAAACUUAAUCUAUCUUGAAUAUGUUUGUACAAGCUCUUAUAACCUAAUUCGUUAUAUCGAGCGAGUUUUACUUUACUAAUUAUUAUUCAAAGCACAUAUUGUUCUAAUACAUCGAUUCAAAUGAGAUUGUUCUAACUCUUUUGGUUAUAGCAUUUUGUAUGUAUAUCAUGUAAUUCCAAUGUAUCUAUUGUUGAUAUCCGAUCUUUGACUUUGAUAGCCUUGUUCAGUUAUAAAUUCUGGUAUUAAACCUUUACUGAUGUAAAUCAAAUAGUGUUCUAAAAUUCUAGAAACACUGAUAAGCUAGUUCCAAACUAAACUUUCUUUAGUGCGGAAAUUCUAAAUCCAAACUGAGACGAACAACCCUAACAUAGGGGAUUUUGUACGUGUAACGUUUAGAUGUUUGUGCACAAUAUAUGGUACAAAGGGUUGAUCCCCCUAAGUACGUUAAGAAGGGUCCGUAUAGUCUAAAUGACUGUUAAGGUUGGGUAAUAACACCUAAGUACCAGGGACAUAGUUCGUGGUCUUAAGACCCUCAGAUAAUUAAAGUUCGAACUUGUUUUCUAGUUUGAUUUGUAGAACAAGUUCCUUAUUGUUCAGCUUUCGUUGUUCACUCUCAUAUUAUUAUCAUUGCUAUGUUCUAUGUUAGUGAGCAUUUGUUUGCUCACUCUUGCAAAUAACACUGCAACUAAAGUGGAGAAAGUUGAUGAGCCGUCGACUAGCAAAGGCAAGGGCAAGAUGUCCAAAUGAUGAAGACUUUUGAGAAUUUUAUUUUAAUNNNN
RNAcentral lists this long non-coding RNA (2338 nucleotides) under Panax ginseng (ginseng). Its description in RNAcentral is "long non-coding RNA (PGIN_LNC000298)". Lineage: Eukaryota; Viridiplantae; Streptophyta; Magnoliopsida; Apiales; Araliaceae. The record is from RNAcentral.